RNAcentral lists this unclassified non-coding RNA (562 nucleotides) under Hevea brasiliensis (rubber tree). The record is from RNAcentral. Lineage: Eukaryota; Viridiplantae; Streptophyta; Magnoliopsida; Malpighiales; Euphorbiaceae.
AGCAAUAGCAACCUCUUUGUACAGAAGGAUGUAGAUCUGAACACCUUGUUUUGCUUUGGCUUCCAGUAAAGCAUCGAGCCGGAAGGAUGCAUUAGUGUGAAAGGGACGUCGCAUAUAAAGUUCGGGGCACAGCCACCAGCCACAUAUAAAGAUCUCUGACUUGGCUUCUUCAAUAGCCAAAGCUAUAGCUUCAAAUGCUGAUUCACCAUCAACAAACCACUGGGCCUGACUGCCAUCCUCUGUCAAACCCCUGGGAGGAGCAUAAGAACCAAAGCGGUGAGGAUGACACCAUCCUUCAGGUGGCCUAAGCCCUGCAUCAUUAAUUGCUGCUACCCAAUCUUUAACCUUUGCAUCACUCUUGGUCCUCAGCUUGAUACACCUUGAACCACAAGACACCCUAAAAUAGUGGCGUAAAGGAUUUCCAUCUUUUAUUUCUUUUGCUAAAGAGACACGACCCUCUCCAUUGCCAUCGGAGGCUGGUAGUACAUCAAACACUAUUAUAUCCAACGGCUCAGGGUCACAUGGAUCUUUGAGGAAAGCCAAGAAUCCAGGUUUCAAUACA